Molecule: long non-coding RNA, 307 nt
Filed under: Salvia miltiorrhiza (redroot sage)
Lineage: Eukaryota; Viridiplantae; Streptophyta; Magnoliopsida; Lamiales; Lamiaceae
Description: long non-coding RNA (SMIL_LNC010840)
Source: RNAcentral
AAACACACUCUUAUGAAGCUUUUAUUUAAUUGAGUUUAGUGGAGGGAACCGUGAGCACCAAUCUUAACCCACAAUUUUGUUUAUUUAAUUGAACCGCGCAUGUUUUUUAUUUUUUAUUUUUGUGAAUAAAUAAAUUUCAUUACUCUAAAAUGAUCCAAUAAGAGUAGGUUCGUAAUUAUCACAAGAAGAAAUUAAGUUGAAAAAGCAAAGAAACACAGCUAAAAAAUAAAUAAAAAACUUAUCAAAGCUUACACACUCAAAACAUGUAGAGCGAGAUGAGCUUUAUCAAAACUUUACAAAAAUCCCG